Molecule: ribosomal RNA, 407 nt
Filed under: uncultured bacterium
Lineage: Bacteria
Also listed under: 1 other name
Description: bacterial SSU rRNA
Rfam family: Bacterial small subunit ribosomal RNA
Source: RNAcentral
UGGGGAAUAUUGCACAAUGGGCGCAAGCCUGAUGCAGCGACGCCGCGUGAGGGAUGACGGCCUUCGGGUUGUAAACCUCUUUCAGCACAGACGAAGCGCAAGUGACGGUAUGUGCAGAAGAAGGACCGGCCAACUACGUGCCAGCAGCCGCGGUAAUACGUAGGGUCCGAGCGUUGUCCGGAAUUACUGGGCGUAAAGAGCUCGUAGGUGGUUUGUCGCGUUGUUCGUGAAAACUCACAGCUUAACUGUGGGCGUGCGGGCGAUACGGGCAGACUUGAGUACUGCAGGGGAGACUGGAAUUCCUGGUGUAGCGGUGGAAUGCGCAGAUAUCAGGAGGAACACCGGUGGCGAAGGCGGGUCUCUGGGCAGUAACUGACGCUGAGGAGCGAAAGCGUGGGGAGCGAACA